Molecule: transfer RNA, 64 nt
Filed under: Metasalis populi
Lineage: Eukaryota; Metazoa; Arthropoda; Insecta; Hemiptera; Tingidae
Description: tRNA-Asp
Source: RNAcentral
AAGAAAUUAGUUUAAAAAAAACAUUACUUUGUCAAAGUAAAAAUAUAAAAUUUUAUAUUUCUUU